Molecule: RNA transcript, 1404 nt
Organism: Ziziphus jujuba (common jujube)
Lineage: Eukaryota; Viridiplantae; Streptophyta; Magnoliopsida; Rosales; Rhamnaceae
Gene name: zinc-finger homeodomain protein 11
Exons: 2
Source: RefSeq, a predicted model, not a curated record
CACCAUCACCAUCAUCAUCAUCAACUUUUCUUUAAUUUAUUUUAUUUUAUUUCUUUAAGAUUAAAAAAAUAAAAAUAAAAAUAAAGACCCCCAAAUAAAUAAACAAAACCCUAACCCCUCCCACACAAUCACAAUCCUCCCUACAUUGUCCAAGCCAUGGACUUAUCCCCCUCCCCCACCAACACCAUCAAAACUCCAGAUACUGAUACUGAAACCCCACCAGAGGCCCAACCCACCAAGUCCUUAUCCUUCACCAACGGCUCUCUUAAACGUCACCACCCUCAGCCACCGCCACCACCACCACCACCACCACCACCACCUCCUCCACCGUCUUCAAUGGUGGUAUCCUACAGAGAAUGCCUCAAGAACCAUGCAGCUUCCAUCGGCGGUCACGCUCUCGAUGGCUGUGGAGAAUUCAUGCCUUGUCCCACUGCCAUACCCACCGACCCCACCUCGCUAAAAUGCGCCGCCUGUGGCUGUCACCGGAAUUUCCACCGACGUGAACCCGACGAACCCAUCACCGGCUGCAAGAUUCUCAGUUUCCACCACCGCUACCCUUCGCCGCCUCUUCCACCGCCUAUUCGGCCAUGUCACCGGAGCUCAAGCCCGAGUCUAAGCCCCAGUCGGAGCUCCAGCCCUGGCCCAACUCCUAGCCCACACUCUCCACCGCCGGUUUCUCAUUUACCACCAAAUUCCUAUUUUGCUUCCCCACCUCAGAUGCUUCUUGCUCUUAGCACCGGCUUUUCUGGUCCGUCGGAUGAGCAUCACAACCAUCAGCAUCAUCACAAUCAGAGUUUUAAUCAGACGGCGGUGAUGAUGAAGACGACAACAGAGAACUCGAACGGGAGGAAGAGAUUCAGGACGAAAUUCAGCCAGGAGCAGAAGGAGAAGAUGCAUUUGUUUGCCGAGAAAGUGGGUUGGAAAAUGGUAAAGAGCGAUGAAGGAAUUGUUGAGGAAUUUUGCAAUGAAUUUGGGGUUGGAAAAGGGGUUCUCAAAGUUUGGAUGCACAAUAACAAACACACUUUGGGGAAGAGAGACAAAGGAAAUCUUGAAGGCAAUGUAGAUGUCGAUGAUAAUAAUAAUAAUAAUAAUAACAAUAACAAUGGUGGUGGUGAUAGAGUACUUAACAAUGAAGAUAGGAAAGCUGAUUUCAAUCUUUUCAGUAACGGGUCUUCUUCAUCUCCUUCUUCAUAAUCUGUGGGGAUUCAGAAAUAGAGACACACAGAGAGAUAAAAUAAAAGGAAAAUUUCAAAAUACGUAGACUCCUUGUCCUGUUGGGUAUAAUGGCAUUGAUAAGGUUUGGUGCAAUUCAUUAAUACUUUUCAUCACUACAUUUAACAAAAUUUUCACCGCUUUAAUUACAAAAUUAAUAUAGAAACUUAGAAAGGAUAUCUAAACAAUAAU